Molecule: ribosomal RNA, 323 nt
Filed under: uncultured eukaryote
Lineage: Eukaryota
Description: partial 18S ribosomal RNA
Rfam family: Eukaryotic small subunit ribosomal RNA
Source: RNAcentral
CCCUUAGAUGUCCUGGGCAGCACGCGUGCUACAAUGAUGCAUUCAACGAGUCUUGCCUUAACCGAAAGGUUCGGGUAAACUUUUGAAAUUGCAUCUUGUCGGGGCUUGAUCAUUGUAAUUUUUGAUCACAAACAAGGAAUUCCUUGUAAAUGUGGGUCAUCAACUUGCAUUGAAUACGUCCCUGCCCUUUGUACACACCGCCCGUCGCUUCUACCGAUGAAUGAUCCGGUGAACACUCUGGACUUGUUGUCUGUCGGAGCAAUCCAAAGACGAUAGGGAAGUUGUGUAAACCUUAUCAUUUAGAGGAAGAAGAAGUCGUAACA